GAUGAACGCUGGCGGCGUGCCUAAUACAUGCAAGUCGAGCGAACGGACGCGACGCUUGCUUUUCUGUUGUUAGCGGCGGACGGGUGUGUAACACGUGGAUAACCUCCCUAUAAGACUGGUAUAACUUCGGGAAACCGGCUCUAAUACCGGAUAAUAUUUUGAACCGCAUGGUUCAAAAGUGAAAGACGGUCUUUCUGUCUCUUAUAGAUGGAUCCGCGCUGCAUUAGCUAGUUGGUAAGGUAACGGCUUACCAAGGCAACGAUGCAUAGCCGACGUGAGAGGGUGAUCGGCCACACGGGAACUGAGACACGGUCCAGACGCCUACGGGAGGCAGCAGUAGGGAAUCUGCCGCAAUGGGGGAAAGCAUGACGGAGCAACGCGGCGUGAGAGAUGAAGGUCUUCGGAUCGUAAAACUCUGUUAUUAGGGAAGAACAUAUGUGUAAGUAACUGAGCACAUCUUGACGGUACCUAAUCAGAAAGCAACGGCUAACUACGUG
Molecule: ribosomal RNA, 497 nt
Filed under: uncultured bacterium
Lineage: Bacteria
Description: partial 16S ribosomal RNA
Rfam family: Bacterial small subunit ribosomal RNA
Source: RNAcentral